UACGUAGGGGGCAAGCGUUGUCCGGAUUUACUGGGCGUAAAGAGCGCGUAGGCGGAAGCUUAAGUGUGGCCUGAAAGCCCCCGGCUCAACCGGGGAAGGUGGCUGCAAACUGGGCUUCUUGAGGGGGAGAGGGGAAAGUGGAAUUCCGGGUGUAGCGGUGAAAUGCGCAGAUAUCAGGAGGAACACCGGUGGCGAAGGCGGGUCUCUGGGCCGAUACUGACGCUGAGGAGCGAAAGCGUGGGGAGCGAACAGG
RNAcentral lists this ribosomal RNA (253 nucleotides) under uncultured bacterium. RNAcentral describes it as "partial 16S ribosomal RNA". It matches the Rfam family "Bacterial small subunit ribosomal RNA", at positions 524 to 776 of the family's 1533-position model. The record is from RNAcentral.